This is a non-coding RNA of Microcebus murinus (gray mouse lemur), 889 nucleotides long. The record is from RefSeq and is a predicted model, not a curated record. Lineage: Eukaryota; Metazoa; Chordata; Mammalia; Primates; Cheirogaleidae.
AGACAACAAAGCAGCUGCGCUUGUGACCCUGAGUACGAGAUAAACACCCAGGAGUCCACGCUGAUGCAGAUGAACGGCUGAGGAAGGUACGCCAUGGGCAGGGGACGUUGUGAGAGUGACUCCACAGUGGCGGGGCCUGACAGACACCACCUGGCUCAGGGGGAUCCAGAGGGCUGCCUCACAGCCGAACCACCGUUUCUGGAGGGCCGGGAGCUCUGAACACCUGCCCGGCAGCACAUCCCGGGGAGGAAGAGCUCCCCGCUGGCACAGCCCCGACGCCCACCCACAGGAACACGCGAGUGGCACGCCUCACGACGGGACGCUACAGGACAACGCCGGAAACCUGCUGCUACGCGCAGCCCCUCGGGUGGGUCUCACAGACCUAAUGGUGCGGAGGCAGAAGGCGGACGCAGAACACCGGGCUCCGAACGAUGCUGCCCACGCAGAAUGCAAGCACGGCAAACAGAACGUGGGACGUGCAUUCGAACCCCGACGCCUGCUCGGCCACAUUGGUGGACCUUGGGGACCUCAUGCUGAGUGAGAUGAGCUAGGCGCACAAGGACAUGUGAUCCCACAGACAGGAGGGCCCUAGGGCAGUCGGGGGUUCACACAGCUGGAGUAGAGGGGUGCUGCCAGGGGCUGGGGGAGGCGAACAGGGAGUCAGUGUCUAAUGGGGACAGAGUUUCACUUUUGCAAGAUCAAAGGGUUCUGGAUGGUGGUGACGGUUGCACAACAGUGUGAGUGUGCUUAAUGCCGCUGAACUGAACACUUACAAAUGGCUAAAACGGUAAAUUUUAUGUCAUGUGUAUCUUAUCGCAAUUUAAAAGCUGCAAGCACAGGCCGGGCGUGGUGGCUCAUGCCUGUAAUCCCAGCACUCUGGGAGGCCGAG